AUGGCGGCGGCGGCGGUGCGAUGUGCUGAGGAGCUGGUUGAGAGAGAGAUGAGCGGACGCGACGCCUCCCACGACGCCGCGCACGCGCUCCGCGUCCGGGACCUCGCGCUCUCCCUCGCCGCCGAGCAGGGCGUCUCCUCCCCCGACCGCCUCCUCAUCGUGGAACUGGCUGCUCUCCUGCACGACAUCGGUGAUUACAAGUACACCAAGGAUAAUGUGGAGGAUAUGAGCAUCGUCAAAAGGUUUCUUGAAGAGGUGGGGUUGGAGGAGGGACAGAGGGAGGAAAUAGUGGCCAUUAUUACAGGGAUGGGAUUCAAAAAUGAGGUUUCAAAGAAGCUUAAUGCGGAGCCCACUCUUGAGUUUGCAAUCGUGCAAGAUGCAGAUCGUCUGGAUGCAAUUGGUGCAAUUGGUGUCGCAAGAUGUUUUACAUAUGGAGGGAGCAAGAACAGUGCAUUGCAUGAUCCUAAUGUACUUCCGCGGGAUAAUUUGUCAAAGGAGAAGUACAUGUCCAAGGAGGAGAAACAAACAUCAAUAAAUCAUUUCCAUGAGAAGCUUUUUAAGUUGAAGGACAUGAUGAAAACAGAGGCUGGGAAAAAGAGAGCUGAGAAAAGGCACAAAUUCAUGGAGAAUUUUGUGGCUGAAUUCUAUGAAGAGUGGAGUGGCAAGGCUUGA
Molecule: ribosomal RNA, 672 nt
Filed under: Triticum aestivum (bread wheat)
Lineage: Eukaryota; Viridiplantae; Streptophyta; Magnoliopsida; Poales; Poaceae
Description: partial small subunit ribosomal RNA
Source: RNAcentral